CGUAGGGUGCGAGCGUUAAUCGGAAUUACUGGGCGUAAAGCGUGCGCAGGCGGUUUGUUAAGAUAGGCGUGAAAUCCCCGGGCUCAACCUGGGAACUGCGCUUAUGACUGGCAAGCUAGAGUACGGCAGAGGGGGUGGAAUUCCACGUGUAGCAGUGAAAUGCGUAGAGAUGUGGAGGAACACCAAUGGCGAAGGCAGCCCCCUGGGUUGAUACUGACGCUCAUGCACGAAAGCGUGGGCAGCAAACAGGAUUAGAUACCCUGGUAGUCCACGCCCUAAACGAUGUCAACUAGGUGUUGGGAGGGUAAAACCUUUUAGUACCGGAGCUAACGCGUGAAGUUGACCGCCUGGGGAGUACGGCCGCAAGGUUA
RNAcentral lists this ribosomal RNA (371 nucleotides) under uncultured organism. Its description in RNAcentral is "bacterial SSU rRNA". It matches the Rfam family "Bacterial small subunit ribosomal RNA", at positions 526 to 896 of the family's 1533-position model. The record is from RNAcentral.